CCUACGGGAGGCAGCAGUGGGGAAUAUUGCGCAAUGGGCGAAAGCCUGACGCAGCGACGCCGCGUGGGGGAUGAAGGUUUUCGGAUUGUAAACUCCUGUCACUGCAGAACAAGGAUGCGUUUAUGAAUAGUAGGCGCAUUUGAUGGUAUGCGGAGAGGAAGGGACGGCUAACUCUGUGCCAGCAGCCGCGGUAAU
RNAcentral lists this ribosomal RNA (195 nucleotides) under uncultured Verrucomicrobiales bacterium. Its description in RNAcentral is "partial 16S ribosomal RNA". It matches the Rfam family "Bacterial small subunit ribosomal RNA", at positions 338 to 524 of the family's 1533-position model. The record is from RNAcentral. Lineage: Bacteria; Pseudomonadati; Verrucomicrobiota; Verrucomicrobiia; Verrucomicrobiales.